RNAcentral lists this small nuclear RNA (19 nucleotides) under Arabidopsis thaliana (thale cress). RNAcentral describes it as "snRNA_05037". The record is from RNAcentral. Lineage: Eukaryota; Viridiplantae; Streptophyta; Magnoliopsida; Brassicales; Brassicaceae.
AGAAUUCACCAAGUGUUGG